AGUGAGAGAGAGAGAGAGAGAGAGAGAGAGAGAGAGUACAAGUAGUUGUUUUCUUGGUUUUGGUCUAGUAAAAGCUUGGGAGUGAGUGUUCAAAGAACAACACCAAGAUAAAAAGAGAUAAAAGGAGGUAGUGUGGGAGAGAGAGACAGAGAUACCCGGAAACUCACACUGACCCCUUUGCAGUUUUUGCUAUAUACUUAUUGAUUUCCUCAAAUCAUAUUGUAGCUCUCUUCUCUCUCUCUCUCUCUCUCUCUCUCUCUCUCUCUCUCUCUCUCUCUCUCUCU
Molecule: microRNA precursor, 284 nt
Filed under: Prunus dulcis (almond)
Lineage: Eukaryota; Viridiplantae; Streptophyta; Magnoliopsida; Rosales; Rosaceae
Description: sRNA ncRNA
Source: RNAcentral